Long non-coding RNA from Pseudoliparis swirei, 308 nucleotides. RefSeq lists it as uncharacterized. Lineage: Eukaryota; Metazoa; Chordata; Actinopteri; Perciformes; Liparidae. The record is from RefSeq and is a predicted model, not a curated record. The transcript is spliced from 3 exons.
CUUGUUUGUCUGCUGGUGGCAAAAAUGAAAGAAGCAAUGCCCUGCUGAGGAGAACCAGAGAGCUGUCUCCCAAUGAGAUCAAGAAGGCUCUUGCACUUUUUAAAGAUCCCCAAUCGCAUCAUUCCAUGUUGCUGCAAGCUUAUGAAGAAGUGCAACAGGAAACUGAUGACGUGGAAGUUGAGGCAUCAAGUUUCAAUCUGAAAGUUGUAAAAAAGCCCCUAAUUGGCCCAAAAGAGUUAAAGGGAAAUGAAUCUGCUCUACAUGCUGGAAUUUGGAGCCAGACCUCCAGUGAUGGGGCCGGUGGCAAC